Molecule: ribosomal RNA, 425 nt
Filed under: uncultured bacterium
Lineage: Bacteria
Description: partial 16S ribosomal RNA
Rfam family: Bacterial small subunit ribosomal RNA
Source: RNAcentral
GUGGGGAAUCUUGCGCAAUGGGCGAAAGCCUGACGCAGCCAUGCCGCGUGAAUGAUGAAGGUCUUAGGAUUGUAAAAUUCUUUCACCGGGGACGAUAAUGACGGUACCCGGAGAAGAAGCCCCGGCUAACUUCGUGCCAGCAGCCGCGGUAAUACGAAGGGGGCUAGCGUUGCUCGGAAUUACUGGGCGUAAAGGGCGCGGAGGCGGACAGUUUAGUCAGAGGUGAAAGCCCAGGGCUCAACCUUGGAAUUGCCGUUGAUACUGGCUGUCGUGAGUACGGGAGAGGUGAGUGGAACUCCGAGUGUAGAGGUGAAAUUCGUAGAUAUUCGGAAGAACACCAGUGGCGAAGGCGACUCACUGGCCCGUUACUGACGCUGAGGCGCGAAAGCGUGGGGAGCAAACAGGAUUAGAUACCCCGGUAGUCC